Molecule: transfer RNA, 76 nt
Filed under: Candidatus Accumulibacter phosphatis
Lineage: Bacteria; Pseudomonadati; Pseudomonadota; Betaproteobacteria
Also listed under: 2 other names
Description: tRNA-Asn
Rfam family: tRNA
About the family: Transfer RNA (tRNA) molecules are approximately 80 nucleotides in length.
Source: RNAcentral
UCCUCGAUAGCUCAGUCGGUAGAGCGUCGGACUGUUAAUCCGCAGGUCCCUGGUUCGAGCCCAGGUCGGGGAGCCA